UGGAUUUGGAUUUAUGGGAGGUCCGACCCCAUGGGCCUCUCAGAGUGUCCCAUAGCAGAGCAAACUGUAACCCCCAAACCAUGGCUGGCAUUACUCCAUGGGUUUCAGACACUGAAGUGGUGGCACAGUG
Echinops telfairi (small Madagascar hedgehog) is the source of this 130-nucleotide small nucleolar RNA. RefSeq annotates it as small nucleolar RNA SNORA42/SNORA80 family. Lineage: Eukaryota; Metazoa; Chordata; Mammalia; Afrosoricida; Tenrecidae. The transcript has a single exon. The record is from RefSeq and is a predicted model, not a curated record.